AACGAACGCUGGCGGCAGGCCUAAAACAUGCAAGUCGAACGAACCUUCGGGUUAGUGGCGCACGGGUGAGUAACGCGUGGGAAUGUACCUUUUGGUGCGGAAUAACGUAGGGAAACUUACGCUAAUACCGCAUAAUAUCUUCGGAUCAAAGAUUUAUCGCCAAGAGAUCAGCCCGCGUUAGAUUAGGUAGUUGGUAGGGUAAUGGCCUACCAAGCCUACGAUCUAUAGCUGGUCUGAGAGGAUGAUCAGCCACACUGGAACUGAGACACGGUCCAGACUCCUACGGGAGGCAGCAGUGGGGAAUUUUGGACAAUGGACGCAAGUCUGAUGCAGCAACGCCGCGUGAGGGACG
RNAcentral lists this ribosomal RNA (352 nucleotides) under uncultured bacterium. RNAcentral describes it as "bacterial SSU rRNA". It matches the Rfam family "Bacterial small subunit ribosomal RNA", at positions 29 to 410 of the family's 1533-position model. The record is from RNAcentral.